This is a long non-coding RNA of Drosophila kikkawai, 600 nucleotides long. RefSeq lists it as uncharacterized. NCBI's taxonomy places the organism in Eukaryota, Metazoa, Arthropoda, Insecta, Diptera, Drosophilidae. The record is from RefSeq and is a predicted model, not a curated record.
UGAAGUGAAAUGGAAUUUCCCAAAAUAAAGGGAGAUGGAAAACUUUACAGCAAACUGGCAACUGUCCACAAAUGGAGAGCUCAGAGCUCGGAAUUGCUCCUCCUUUCAUUCCGGAAAUUAAAAUAUGAACCGCAUUCUGGGGGGCGAGAAAGAGGGAGAUGUCCAUUUCCAAAAAAAAAAAAAUUCCCACACAAUGUCUCUGGCAGCGGCAGGCGGAAGUGGCGGAAGUUCUGCGGGCCAAAGGCAAGCUCACAAAUUUGGCCAACAAAUUGAUUGAUUGAUCAGCUGCAAUCAGAAUCAACUGAUUCUCUUGUCAUCAGCUCCAGAUUUCCGUUCAAUUAGCAGGCGAAUUCCCUUCCUAAUGAGCUGGGGUAGCUCCUCUCGCUCUCUUUGGGGCUUGUGUCAAAAAUAAAUUAAUCGAAAUUUGCAUAAAUUUUACAAGAAGCAGCAGACAUUGUCGCGUCGUCUGCCCCAAUACUCCUCCAAACACUCUAAAUGAUUGCGUGCCCGAAACUUAAUUAUAAAAGCCAACAGAAAAUGCCAGGCGGAGCCAUGAAAAUUGCGUUGAACUGGAAUAAAAACGAACACUUGGCAUCGUCA